CACCGCUAGAGUGCAGUAGUCUACUCGCUGUUAUUGUAUCACUCCGCCGCUGAAGGGCAGCGUGUAAUGUCUGUAAUGUGCCGCUAGGGGCGGUGGAGAGGGGCUGUCUUCCAGUGAGUGAGGCGCUUGACGCCGGCAGAGGCUGUGGAAGAAAAGCCCUAAAAACGGACUGACGUUAUACUCUUUAGAUUGCUCUGUUUCCUUUAGCUGUGCUUUCAGACGGAAGUGUCCUGUUUUUGAGCAGAUGCGCUCGUUCCUAAAGGCCUUGCUGGUCUUCCCUCCGUGUCUCGUGUGUGUGUGUGUGUGUGUGUGUGGACAGCAGCUCCAUCAUGGGGGACACGAGAGAUCUGGACAGACAGAUCGAUCAGCUGAGGAGAUGUGAGCUCAUCAAGGAGAACGAGGUCAAAGCCCUGUGAUUUAUUAAUGUAGUAAACUGAAGCAGAGACUGAACGAGCGUGACACACAGCUCUGAUCAGGACACAGUCGCUCGAUCGUGUGGUAAUGUGGCAGCAAUCCUGGAGCUGGACCAGCACCUGCAGAAAGAGUUCAUCAUAUUCGAAGCUGCUCCAAAAGACACCAGAGGCAUUCCCUCCAAAAAAACAAUCGCUGACUACUUCCUGUGAGCCAGUCUGGAACAGGAAGUGCUGCCCUAUGUGUUCUUCUGUUUUCCUCGCAAUAUUUUUAAAGCAAUUUUUAUGUUAUUUUUAGUUCUAUAAGUAGUAUCACACUUUUUUCUGCUUUAGUUUUAAUUGGUAAUAACCCAGUUUGUGAGGUGGAGGGUGGUUCUGUGUUACUGUAUUGAGUUGAGCUGCGGUCGUCUCUGCAGGGAUGAGGAGGACACCAAGAGAGUGGUGCACAGUGCCAAAGACCAGGGGUGGUAAAAGUACUCAGAAGUUAUACUUCAGUAAAAAUAGACGAUCUAAAUAAAAAAUGACUCCAGUAAAAGUAGAAAAGUCCUCCAUUCGAACAUCACUUGAGUAAAAGUAUCCGAUUUAAAAUAUACUUAAG
Carassius auratus (goldfish) is the source of this 1008-nucleotide long non-coding RNA. RefSeq lists it as uncharacterized. The transcript is spliced from 3 exons. Lineage: Eukaryota; Metazoa; Chordata; Actinopteri; Cypriniformes; Cyprinidae. The record is from RefSeq and is a predicted model, not a curated record.